RNAcentral lists this ribosomal RNA (492 nucleotides) under uncultured bacterium. Its description in RNAcentral is "partial 16S ribosomal RNA". It matches the Rfam family "Bacterial small subunit ribosomal RNA", at positions 29 to 507 of the family's 1533-position model. The record is from RNAcentral.
AGUGAACGCUGGCGGUAGGCCUAACACAUGCAAGUCGGACGGCAGCACAGUAAGAGCUUGCUCUUACGGGUGGCGAGUGGCGGGCGGGUGAGGAAUACAUCGGAAUCUACUUUUUCGUGGGGGAUAACGUAGGGAAACUUACGCUAAUACCGCAUACGACCUACGGGUGAAAUCAGGGGAUCUUCGGACCUUGCGCGAUUGAAUUAGCCGAUGUCGGAUUAGCUAGUUGGCGGGGUAAAGGCCCACCAAGGCGACGAUCCGUAGCUGGUCUGAGAGGAUGAUCAGCCACACUGGAACUGAGACACGGUCCAGACUCCUACGGGAGGCAGCAGUGGGGAAUAUUGGACAAUGGGCGCAAGCCUGAUCCAGCCAUACCGCGUGGGUGAAGAAGGCCUUCGGGUUGUAAAGCCCUUUUGUUGGGAAAGAAAAGCAGCAGGUUAAUACCCCGCUGUUCUGACGGUACCCAAAGAAUAAGCACCGGCUAACUUCGUG